UGGGGAAUAUUGCACAAUGGGCGAAAGCCUGAUGCAGCAACGCCGCGUGAGCGAUGAAGGCCUUUGGGUCGUAAAGCUCUGUCCUUGGGGAAGAAACAAAUGACGGUACCCUGGAGGAAGCCCCGGCUAACUACGUGCCAGCAGCCGCGGUAAUACGUAGGGGGCGAGCGUUAUCCGGAAUUAUUGGGCGUAAAGAGUGCGUAGGUGGUCUUGUAAGCGUGGGGUGAAAGGCAGUGGCUUAACCAUUGUUAGCCUUGCGAACUGUGAGACUUGAGUGCAGGAGAGGAAAGUGGAAUUCCUAGUGUAGCGGUGAAAUGCGUAGAUAUUAGGAGGAACACCAGUGGCGAAGGCGACUUUCUGGACUGUAACUGACACUGAGGCACGAAAGCGUGGGGAGCAAACAG
Molecule: ribosomal RNA, 404 nt
Filed under: uncultured bacterium
Lineage: Bacteria
Description: bacterial SSU rRNA
Rfam family: Bacterial small subunit ribosomal RNA
Source: RNAcentral